Molecule: ribosomal RNA, 1485 nt
Filed under: uncultured Bordetella sp.
Lineage: Bacteria; Pseudomonadati; Pseudomonadota; Betaproteobacteria; Burkholderiales; Alcaligenaceae
Description: partial 16S-23S ribosomal RNA intergenic spacer
Rfam family: Bacterial small subunit ribosomal RNA
Source: RNAcentral
UCAGGUAACAGAGGGUUUAUCGUGCUCAGAUUGAACGCUGGCGGGAUGCUUUACACAUGCAAGUCGAACGGCAGCACGGACUUCGGUCUGGUGGCGAGUGGCGAAUGGUGAGUAAUGUAAUUGAAUCGUGCUCAGUAGCGGGGAUAACUGCCGCGAAAGCGUAGCUAAUACUGCAUACCUUUCGGGGAAAGCGGGGGACUUCGGGCUUUCGCACUAUUAGAGCGGCCGAUAUCGGAUUAGCUAGUUGGUGGGGUAACGGCUCACAAGGCGACGAUCCGUAGCUGGUUUGAUAUGACGACCAGCCACACUGGGACUGAGACACGGCCCAGACUCCUACGGGAGGCAGCAGUAGUGGGAAUUUUGGACAAUGGGGGAAACUCCGAUCCAGCCAUCCCCAAGUGUGUGCGAUGAAGGCCCGGGUUGUAAAGCACUUUGGCAGGAAAGAAAACGGCACGGAUAAUACCCCGUGCAACUGGGAUUGGGUACCUGCAGAAUAAGCACCGGCUAACUACAAAGAGGCAGCCGCGUGUAAUACGUAGGGUGCAAGCACCGGAAUUACUGGUAAGCGUGGUGCAGGCGGUUCUGAAAGAAAGAUGUGAAAUCCCAGAGCUUAACUUUGGAAACCGCAAUUUUAACUACCGAGCUUGUAGUGUGUCGGAGGUGGAAUUCCGCGUGCAGUGAGCUGCGGAUAUGCGGAGGAACACCGAUGGCGAAGGCAGCCUCCUGGGAUAACACUGACGCUCAUGCACGAAAGCGUGGGGAGCAAACAGGAUUAGAUACUCCUGGUGGAACCACGGCUCUAAACAGAUGUCAACUAGCUGUUGGGGCCUUCGCCUUGGUAGCAGCUAAUCGCGUGAAGUUGACCGCCUGGGGAGCACGGUCGCAAGAUUAAAACUCAAAGGUGAAUUGACGGGGACUCCUUACAAGCGGAUGAUGAUUGAACGAUGCAAACGCGAAAAACUUACCUACCCUUAUGCCCGGAAUCCCGAAGAGAUUUGGGAGCGUCGCAAGAGAACCGGAACACAGGUGCUGCAUGGCUGUUUCGUCAGUUUGUGUCGAGAUGUUGGGUUAAGUCCUGCAACGUGCAACUCUUGUCAUUAGUUACAUGAAAGGGCACCUAAUGAGACUGCCGGUGACAAACCGGGAUAUGUGGAUGACGUCAAGUCCUCAUGGCCCUUGCAGGCGGGUAGGGCUUCACACGUCAUACAAUGGUCGGGACAGAGGGUCGCCAAAUCCGCGAGGGGGAGCCAAUCCCAGAAACUCCGAUCGUAGUCCGGAUCGCAGUCUGCAACUCGACUGCGUGAAGUCGGAAUCGCUAGUGGGAGAAUCGCGGAUCAGCAUGUCGCGGUGAAUACGUUCCUGCCCGGGACACACCGCCCGCCUGCACUCCUGCUGGAGUGGGUUUUACCAGAAGGGAAGUAGCCUAACCGGCAGAGGGCGAUUACCACGGUAGACCUGAUGACUGGGGUGAAGUCGUAACAAUAA